This 1016-nucleotide ribosomal RNA is filed under the name uncultured bacterium. RNAcentral describes it as "bacterial SSU rRNA". It matches the Rfam family "Bacterial small subunit ribosomal RNA", at positions 357 to 1376 of the family's 1533-position model. The record is from RNAcentral.
AGGAAUAUUGGUCAAUGGGCGCGAGCCUGAACCAGCCAAGUAGCGUGAAGGAUGAAGGUCCUAUGGAUUGUAAACUUCUUUUAUACGGGAAUAAAGUGGUCCACGUGUGGGCUUUUGCAUGUACCGUAUGAAUAAGCAUCGGCUAACUCCGUGCCAGCAGCCGCGGUAAUACGGAGGAUGCGAGCGUUAUCCGGAUUUAUUGGGUUUAAAGGGAGCGCAGACGGGGGAUUAAGUCAGUUGUGAAAGUUUGCGGCUCAACCGUAAAAUUGCAGUUGAUACUGGUUCCCUUGAGUGCAGUUGAGGCAGGCGGAAUUCGUGGUGUAGCGGUGAAAUGCAUAGAUAUCACGAAGAACCCCGAUUGCGAAGGCAGCCUGCUAAGCUGUAACUGACGCUGAGGCUCGAAAGUGUGGGUAUCAAACAGGAUUAGAUACCCUGGUAGUCCACACGGUAAACGAUGGAUACUCGCUGUUGGCGAUAUACUGUCAGCGGCCAAGCGAAAGCAUUAAGUAUCCCACCUGGGGAGUACGCCGGCAACGGUGAAACUCAAAGGAAUUGACGGAGGCCCGCACAAGCGGAGGAACAUGUGGUUUAAUUCGAUGAUACGCGAGGAACCUUACCCGGGCUUAAAUUGCAGACGAAUUACUUGGAAACAGGUAAGCCGCAAGGCGUCUGUGAAGGUGCUGCAUGGUUGUCGUCAGCUCGUGCCGUGAGGUGUCGGCUUAAGUGCCAUAACGAGCGCAACCCUCGUGGCCAGUUACUAGCAGGUAACGCUGAGGACUCUGGCCAGACUGCCAUCGCAAGAUGCGAGGAAGGUGGGGAUGACGUCAAAUCAGCACGGCCCUUACGUCCGGGGCUACACACGUGUUACAAUGGGAGGUACAGAAGGCAGCUACCCGGCGACGGGAUGCCAAUCUCCAAAGCCUCUCUCAGUUCGGACUGGAGUCUGCAACCCGACUCCACGAAGCUGGAUUCGCUAGUAAUCGCGCAUCAGCCACGGCGCGGUGAAUACGUUCCCG